This 409-nucleotide ribosomal RNA is filed under the name uncultured Methylomirabilota bacterium. Its description in RNAcentral is "bacterial SSU rRNA". It matches the Rfam family "Bacterial small subunit ribosomal RNA", at positions 1026 to 1434 of the family's 1533-position model. Lineage: Bacteria; Methylomirabilota (SeqCode). The record is from RNAcentral.
GCGUGGAGACAGGUGGUGCAUGGCUGUCGUCAGCUCGUGUCGUGAGAUGUUGGGUUAAGUCCCGCAACGAGCGCAACCCUCACCCCUUGUUACCAUCAGGUCAUGCUGGGCACUCUAGGGGAACUGCCCCGGUCAACGGGGAGGAAGGCGGGGAUGACGUCAAGUCAUCAUGCCCCUUACGUCCUGGGCUACACACGUGCUACAAUGGCCGGUACAAAGGGAUGCAACGCCGCGAGGCAGAGCCAAACCCAAAAAGCCGGUCUAAGUUCAGAUUGGAGUCUGCAACUCGACUCCAUGAAGGAGGAAUCGCUAGUAAUCGCGUAUCAGCACGACGCGGUGAAUACGUUCCCGGGCCUUGUACACACCGCCCGUCACACCACGAAAGCCAGCUGUACUCGAAGUCGCUGAG